CAACUUACUUCUGACCCGCCACAAGUUGAUAGACUGCUGGAGGGCUCACCACCCCGACGAGAAAGACUACACCUUCUUCUCACAUCCACACAACGCAUACACCAGACUGGACUAUGUCUUUACCACGCACUAUCACCUGCCACUAACAUGUAACGCGGAACACGGAACAGCGACAUGGUCAGACCAAGCCCCCGUAACCCUGACACUCGCUUCCCCCCUCUACAGACCGAGGCUCACUAAGUGGAGGCUUAACGACUACCUCCUCACCAGACCAGACCUAACAACAGACAUAGGAGAAACACUCAAGGAAUACUUUGAGACGAACACGACUGAACACACAUCGCCGUCCAUUAGAUGGCAGGCGUAUAAAAGCGUAGUUCGCAGACACUUCAUUAGACAGAGCGCCACCCUCAAAAAACAGGCCGACUGCCGAAUGAAGGAGCUAGUGACAGAAAUACAAAGCCUAGACUCCCUCAAUAAAACUGCACAACACCAGACACAUCAGGCGACAUUGCUACAACUACGGCGUGAACUGACCAGCCUCCUCCAUAGGAAACACCACAGAGAUGUGGUCAGGCAUAAAGCCUUCUUCCUACUCCAUGGCAACAAGAGCGGGAAGCUACUGGCCAGAAUGCUCGCAAAAAAGAGACAGACGACAUAUAUUGACAAAAUGAG
Molecule: non-coding RNA, 675 nt
Organism: Pelobates cultripes (western spadefoot toad)
Lineage: Eukaryota; Metazoa; Chordata; Amphibia; Anura; Pelobatidae
Source: the annotation of a GenBank genome assembly